AGAGUUUGAUCAUGGCUCAGAUUGAACGCUGGCGGCAUGCCUUACACAUGCAAGUCGAACGGCAGCACGGGGGCAACCCUGGUGGCGAGUGGCGAACGGGUGAGUAACAUAUCGGAACGUGCCCUGGAGUGGGGGAUAACUAGUCGAAAGAUUAGCUAAUACCGCAUACGAUCUACGGAUGAAAGUGGGGGAUCGCAAGACCUCAUGCUCGUGGAGCGGCCGAUAUCUGAUUAGCUAGUUGGUGGGGUAAAGGCCUACCAAGGCAUCGAUCAGUAGCUGGUCUGAGAGGACGACCAGCCACACUGGGACUGAGACACGGCCCAGACUCCUACGGGAGGCAGCAGUGGGGAAUUUUGGACAAUGGGCGCAAGCCUGAUCCAGCAAUGCCGCGUGAGUGAAGAAGGCCUUCGGGUUGUAAAGCUCUUUUGUCAGGGAAGAAACGGUGAGGGCUAAUAUCCUUUGCUAAUGACGGUACCUGAAGAAUAAGCACCGGCUAACUACGUGCCAGCAGCCGCGGUAAUACGUAGGGUGCAAGCGUUAAUCGGAAUUACUGGGCGUAAAGCGUGCGCAGGCGGUUGUGCAAGACCGAUGUGAAAUCCCCGGGCUUAACCUGGGAAUGGCAUUGGUGACUGCACGGCUAGAGUGUGUCAGAGGGGGGUAGAAUUCCACGUGUAGCAGUGAAAUGCGUAGAGAUGUGGAGGAAUACCGAUGGCGAAGGCAGCCCCCUGGGAUAACACUGACGCUCAUGCACGAAAGCGUGGGGAGCAAACAGGAUUAGAUACCCCGGUAGUCC
This 793-nucleotide ribosomal RNA is filed under the name uncultured bacterium. RNAcentral's name for it is "bacterial SSU rRNA". It matches the Rfam family "Bacterial small subunit ribosomal RNA", at positions 8 to 796 of the family's 1533-position model. The record is from RNAcentral.